Molecule: non-coding RNA, 90 nt
Organism: Mycena latifolia
Lineage: Eukaryota; Fungi; Basidiomycota; Agaricomycetes; Agaricales; Mycenaceae
Source: the annotation of a GenBank genome assembly
GGCCUGGUGGUGUAAUGGGAACACCCCUGCUUCAUUUGGAUGUAUUAUCUCGUUGGGUAGGAGCUCCUUGUUCGAUUCAAGGUCAGGCCA